Molecule: ribosomal RNA, 492 nt
Filed under: uncultured bacterium
Lineage: Bacteria
Description: partial 16S ribosomal RNA
Rfam family: Bacterial small subunit ribosomal RNA
Source: RNAcentral
AGUGAACGCUGGCGGUAGGCCUAACAAAUGCAAGUCGAACGGCAGCACAGUAAGAGCUUGCUCUUACGGGUGGCGAGUGGCGGACGGGUGAGGAAUACAUCGGAAUCUACUUUUUCGUGGGGGAUAACGUAGGGAAACUUACGCUAAUACCGCAUACGACCUGCGGGUGAAAGCAGGGGAUCUUCGGACCUUGCGCGAUUGAAUGAGCCGAUGUCGGAUUAGCUAGUUGGCGGGGUAAAGGCCCACCAAGGCGACGAUCCGUAGCUGGUCUGAGAGGGUGAUCAGCCACACUGGAACUGAGACACGGUCCAGACUCCUACGGGAGGCAGCAGUGUGGAAUAUUGGACAAUGGGCGCAAGCCUGAUCCAGCCAUACCGCGUGGGUGAAGAAGGCCUUCGGGUUGUAAAGCCCUUUUGUUGGGAAAGAAAAGCAGCAGUUUAAGACCCCGCUGUUGUGACGGUACCCAAAGAAUAAGCACCGUCUAACUUCGUG